This 76-nucleotide transfer RNA is filed under the name Planctomycetota bacterium. RNAcentral describes it as "tRNA-Phe". It matches the Rfam family "tRNA". Rfam says of the family: Transfer RNA (tRNA) molecules are approximately 80 nucleotides in length. Their secondary structure includes four short double-helical elements and three loops (D, anti-codon, and T loops). Lineage: Bacteria; Pseudomonadati; Planctomycetota. The record is from RNAcentral.
GGGCGGGUAGCUCAGUUGGUAGAGCACUUGACUGAAAAUUAAGGGGUCACCGGUUCAAGUCCGGUCCCGCCCACCA